GAGGGAGCUAAUCCGAUAAAGUCGUUCUCAGUUCGGAUUGUAGGCUGCAACUCGCCUACAUGAAGCCGGAAUCGCUAGUAAUCGCGGAUCAGCAUGCCGCGGUGAAUACGUUCCCGGGCCUUGUACACACCGCCCGUCACACCACGAGAGUUUGUAACACCCGAAGUCGGUGAGGUAACCUUUUGGA
RNAcentral lists this ribosomal RNA (187 nucleotides) under Lysinibacillus fusiformis. RNAcentral's name for it is "partial 16S ribosomal RNA". It matches the Rfam family "Bacterial small subunit ribosomal RNA", at positions 1261 to 1447 of the family's 1533-position model. Lineage: Bacteria; Bacillati; Bacillota; Bacilli; Caryophanales; Bacillaceae. The record is from RNAcentral.